Molecule: long non-coding RNA, 1306 nt
Filed under: Mytilus galloprovincialis (Mediterranean mussel)
Lineage: Eukaryota; Metazoa; Mollusca; Bivalvia; Mytilida; Mytilidae
Source: RNAcentral
AUAUGUGCUUUGAAGAGGGGGGGCAAGGGGGGUCCCAAUAACAGCAAAACAGCAAAUUGAUUUGGCUCAUAACAGAUAACAAGGAAUUAAAAUGGACAAAAACAGAUAACAGUAAAUGAAAUAUUAAAAUAAUUCGGUCUUUGACAAAUCAGUAUUUCUUAUUACGGAUCUAAUCCUUUGUAAUGCAUUCCAUUUUCUAUGACUUUUCUAGAAUGCGUUUAAAUUACUACUCUAUAUAUUAUAAUAUUUUUUAUACGCUCGUUUACGGAACGUAUUAUGGUAUACUGUUGUCCGUCUGUUGUCAACAUGUCGGACAUUAACUCAAAAACUCUUUGACCAAUUUGCAUUAAACUUUGGGAAAUUGUUUAUAUCUAUUGACGUGAGCUCCUUUUUUGGUUGUUUUUUUUUAUAAAUUUUAGAUUUUAAGUUUCUGGGUAAUGGGGUUUUUAUUCAAUAAAAUUUUAUUCCACUAGUUUCAAAGGCCUUAUUUGAACAAUUUUUUAUCAGCUGAGGUUUUUGAUUGUACCAAGUGUACUUGUAAAUAUUAAUAUUAAGUAGAAUAAUAGUUUAGUAGGGAAACAAUGGCUUGAAACGAAAUAAAUCUUUGUUUGUAAUGAGUUAUGUGCAGCUUCGGACCCAAGUACAUGGUUGGAACUUUCAUUGUACAAUGCAUUUGGUUCUGCUUUGAAAAGAAUCACAGAGCUAAGUCUAAGUACCAUGUUAUAUAAAAGGUUAAGUGGUAGUUAGGACCUAGUCCUUAAUUGAGAUCCUUGUCAGAUAUUCCUGGCCAUAUGUUUUCCUAUUUGUCAUAUUAAGAAUUGUUUUAAUUUCAUAUAUGUUCGUACGGGAAACAAGGAACAUUAGUCUCAUACAAAAAAUUAAGAUAAUUCUAAAUACACAUUCAUAAAAAAAAUGGAAUUUAUUACAAAGGAUAAUCAUAAGAUAUACUUGAAUUGUCCUGGACCUGACACUUCUGAGAUGGGUAUAUGGUAAUGGAAUCCUUCUCUGAAUACGGGACAAACAUAUUAGUAGUGGUAGACCCCAAUGUCCAAUGAUCUUCAAUUUAUACCGAAUAUUGACUGUAAAAAAAAAUGCUUACAUUCCAAUUUUCAAUAACAGUUAACAGCAAAUACAUUAUCACAAUAACAGAUAACAAAAAAACUAAAAGCCCAAUAACAGCUAACAAAGAAUAAGACAAUAACAGCUAACAGCAAAUAUAUUUUCAAAAUAACAGAUAACAAAGAAUUAAAUUGCCCCAUAACAGCAUAACAGUUAAACCCCUUGCCCCCCCUCUUUGAAUUUUAGC